Non-coding RNA from Pseudonaja textilis, 180 nucleotides. NCBI's taxonomy places the organism in Eukaryota, Metazoa, Chordata, Lepidosauria, Squamata, Elapidae. The record is from RefSeq and is a predicted model, not a curated record.
UAAACAGAGGCUUACUUAACUACGGGGAUGGGAUCUGACUGGUAUAACUACCGAUUCUGUCUAUUAGCAUCGCACGCGCAUGCGCGAGUCACAUGAGUGCAAUUUACAACCUGCUGAGCUGCCCGGACAGCAUGCAAGUGCGCAGCAGUUGGAAAAUCCCUUUUUCCCUUCUUUUUCAAC